GCCGCCAUAGCUCAGCUGGUAGAGCAUCUGAUUUGUAAUCAGAGGAAUCCGGCGCGUUUUCAAUUGCUUGCGUGUA
Molecule: transfer RNA, 76 nt
Filed under: Caulobacteraceae bacterium
Lineage: Bacteria; Pseudomonadati; Pseudomonadota; Alphaproteobacteria; Caulobacterales; Caulobacteraceae
Description: tRNA-Thr
Rfam family: tRNA
About the family: Transfer RNA (tRNA) molecules are approximately 80 nucleotides in length. Their secondary structure includes four short double-helical elements and three loops (D, anti-codon, and T loops).
Source: RNAcentral